UACGGGGGGGGCAAGCGUUGUUCGGAAUUACUGGGCGUAAAGGGCUCGUAGGUGGCCAACUAAGUCGGACGUGAAAUCCCUCAGCUUAACUGGGGAACUGCAUCCGAUACUGGAUGGCUUGAGUUUGGGAGAGGGAUGCGGAAUUCCUGGUGUAGCGGUGAAAUGCGCAGAUAUCAGGAGGAACACCGGUGGCGAAGGCGGGUCUCUGGGCCGGAACUGACGCUAAGGAGCGAAAGCGUGGGGAGCAAACAGG
RNAcentral lists this ribosomal RNA (253 nucleotides) under uncultured bacterium. RNAcentral's name for it is "partial 16S ribosomal RNA". It matches the Rfam family "Bacterial small subunit ribosomal RNA", at positions 524 to 776 of the family's 1533-position model. The record is from RNAcentral.